AGAUGCUUUGUCUAGGAAAUCUAUUCAUGAGGAGCAGCUUACUAUGACCCUUCAAUCUUCUCUACAACCUACUUGGAUGUCCCAAUUAAUUGCUAGCUAUGAAGGGGACUCUAUUGCUAAAGAUUUAAUAAUUCAUCUUUCUUUAGAUGAAGCUGCUCACCCUCGAUACACUUAUAAGGAAGGGUUGUUAUUUUUCAAAGGCAAGCUGUAUGUGGGUAUAGCACGAAAAUUGAGAGAGCAACUCCUGGAUAUCUAUCAUAUCUCUUGUUUGCGUGGACAUUCAGGUAUCAAUGCCACAUAUGUCAGGUUCAGUAGACAUUUUUACUGGCCAGGUAUGAUGAAAUCUGUUAUAGAUUGGGUAAAGGCCUGUGAUACUGGUGCUAGAUGUAAGGUGGAGCAUUGUGGUACAUCUGGACUGUUGUAGCCCUUGACAGUCCCAACACAAGCCUGGCAGCAUAUUACUAUGGAUUUCAUUAAACAAAUGCCUAAGUCUCAAGGAAAAGACACUAUUCUUGUUGUUAUUUGCUUAUUAACCAAGUAUGCACACUUCAUUCCUCUCCAACAUCCGUUCACUGCUUCUGGGGUUGCCAAAAUAUUCAUGGAUACAAUCUUCAAGCUACAUGGCAUACCACUAUCAAUAGUCUGACAGAGACAGAAUUUUUUCUAGCUUAUUCUGGAAGGAAUUGUUCAAGACUCUGGGAACUACUCUUGCUUAUAGCACUGCCUACCAUCCACAAUCAGAUGAACAAUCCGAGAGACUCAAUCAGUGUGUAGAGGGCUAUUUGAGAUGUUUGAGUUACUAGAAACCAUAGUCUUGGUCUAAGUGGCUUUCUUUGGCAGAAUGGUGGUCUAACACCAUUCAUCAUAGUGCCUUAAAGCCUUAAAAAUGUCCCCAUUUGAGGCAUUAUAUAGAUAUAAGCCACCUUCAUUAGCACUCCUUCCUACCGUCAUUACUAUGGUUGGCGCAGUUUCAUACUUGAUUUCAGAAAGAAAACACAUGUCUCAAUUCCUUAGGGACAAUUUGUUGGCUGCACAAAACCGUAUGAAGCAGUAUGCAGGUCUGAAAGAGUGUUUGAUGUGGGGGAUUGGGUUUACCUUAAAUUGCAGCCCUAUAGACAAACAUCCCUUGAUGUCAAGAAAAAUCUCAAGUUAGCUGCUAGAUUCUAUGGCCCUUAUGAGAUUCUUGAUAGAAUUGGUGAAGUAGACUAUAAGCUGAAAUUGCCUGAGUCAGCUCAAAUUCACCCUGUUUUUCAUGUCUCACUCCUCAAGAAGAAAUUAAGUCAGCAGGCUGUUGUGAUUCAGGAUUUACCCACUUUUCAGGAUGAACAAAUUGUUAUUGCACCAGCCAAAGUCCUAAAGACUAGAAUUAUACACAGGAAUGGACAGAAGGUAUUACAAGGACUCAUUCAAUGGCUCAACCUCCCUGAAGAAGAAGCUACUUGGGAAGAUCAGACUUUUCUCUUAAGUCAGUUUUCAGAAUUCAAAACAGUUUUCGGAAUUCAAAACUUCUUGGGGUCAAGAAGUUUCUCAUGGGAAGGUAUUAUCACAUAUUAUAGGAAAAGGAAGAGGGCUAAUAUGUAAUAAUGAGUGAGAGAGUAGUUGUUUUGGAGGGAAAGUUAGUUUUUGGGGUUUUGGAAAAUAGUAAAAGUAAUAACAGAAUUCUGUUAGAGCUGUUGACAGCUCAGAUAGGCAGUCAUGCUACUUGUAUAAGAAUAGCAAUGUAAUGCUGUAUUGGACAUCGGAAAAAAAAUUCAAAUGAUAGAAAUCUCUCCCUUCUUUCUCCUCUCGUCUCAUAUUCUUUUUUUCCUCAUCUCAGAUUUAUUUCUUUGAUCAUCAAAUUUCCUUUCCUCUGUAUAGAUUUUGAGUGAGAAACAGCGGAGAUAUUAUAGAAACCUUCAAAAUGAAUUAAUUAAAAAGUUAACAAGAUGUAAGCUGACAUAUUUGUCAUUUUAAAAAUUUUAUCAACUGAUACUCUUUGUCAUU
Molecule: unclassified non-coding RNA, 1983 nt
Filed under: Hevea brasiliensis (rubber tree)
Lineage: Eukaryota; Viridiplantae; Streptophyta; Magnoliopsida; Malpighiales; Euphorbiaceae
Source: RNAcentral